CGGAGGGAGCUAGCGUUGUUCGGAAUUACUGGGCGUAAAGCGCGCGUAGGCGGCUGUUCAAGUCAGAGGUGAAAGCCCGGGGCUCAACCCCGGAACUGCCUUUGAAACUAGAUAGCUAGAAUCUUGGAGAGGCGAGUGGAAUUCCGAGUGUAGAGGUGAAAUUCGUAGAUAUUCGGAAGAACACCAGUGGCGAAGGCGACUCGCUGGACAAGUAUUGACGCUGAGGUGCGAAAGCGUGGGGAGCAAACAGGAUU
This 254-nucleotide ribosomal RNA is filed under the name uncultured bacterium. RNAcentral describes it as "partial 16S ribosomal RNA". It matches the Rfam family "Bacterial small subunit ribosomal RNA", at positions 526 to 779 of the family's 1533-position model. The record is from RNAcentral.